GCAGCCGCCGCGGGAAUACGAAGGGGGCUAGCGUUGUUCGGAAUCACUGGGCGUAAAGGGUGCGUAGGCGGGAUCUUAAGUCAGGGGUGAAAUCCCGAGGCUCAACCUCGGAACUGCCUUUGAUACUGGGGUCCUUGAGUCCGGAAGAGGUGAGUGGAACUGCGAGUGUAGAGGUGAAAUUCGUAGAUAUUCGCAAGAACACCUGUGGCGAAAGCAGCUCACUGGACCAUUUCUGACGCUGAUGCACGAAAGCUAGGGGAGCAAACAGGAUUAGAUACCCGCGUAGUCCCUGUCUCUUAUAC
This 302-nucleotide ribosomal RNA is filed under the name uncultured bacterium. RNAcentral describes it as "partial 16S ribosomal RNA". It matches the Rfam family "Bacterial small subunit ribosomal RNA", at positions 508 to 807 of the family's 1533-position model. The record is from RNAcentral.